Molecule: ribosomal RNA, 274 nt
Filed under: uncultured bacterium
Lineage: Bacteria
Description: partial 16S ribosomal RNA
Rfam family: Bacterial small subunit ribosomal RNA
Source: RNAcentral
AUACAGAGGGUGCGAGCGUUAAUCGGAAUUACUGGGUGUAAAGCGCGCGUAGGCGGUCUAUUAAGUCAGAUGUGAAAUCCCAGGGCUCAACCUUGGAACUGCAUCUGAUACUGGUAGACUAGAGUUUUGGAGAGGGAAGUAGAAUUUCAGGUGUAGCGGUGAAAUGCAUAGAGAUCUGAAGGAAUACCAGUGGCGAAGGCGACUUCCUGGCCAAAAACUGACGCUGAGGUGCGAAAGCGUGGGUAGCAAACGGGAUUAGAAACCCUAGUAGUCC